RNAcentral lists this ribosomal RNA (436 nucleotides) under Pseudomonas marginalis. Its description in RNAcentral is "bacterial SSU rRNA". It matches the Rfam family "Bacterial small subunit ribosomal RNA", at positions 338 to 766 of the family's 1533-position model. The record is from RNAcentral. Lineage: Bacteria; Pseudomonadati; Pseudomonadota; Gammaproteobacteria; Pseudomonadales; Pseudomonadaceae.
CCUACGGGAGGCAGCAGUGGGGAAUAUUGGACAAUGGGCGAAAGCCUGAUCCAGCCAUGCCGCGUGUGUGAAGAAGGUCUUCGGAUUGUAAAGCACUUUAAGUUGGGAGGAAGGGCAGUUACCUAAUACGUGAUUGUUUUGACGUUACCGACAGAAUAAGCACCGGCUAACUCUGUGCCAGCAGCCGCGGUAAUACAGAGGGUGCAAGCGUUAAUCGGAAUUACUGGGCGUAAAGCGCGCGUAGGUGGUUUGUUAAGUUGGAUGUGAAAUCCCCGGGCUCAACCUGGGAACUGCAUUCAAAACUGACUGACUAGAGUAUGGUAGAGGGUGGUGGAAUUUCCUGUGUAGCGGUGAAAUGCGUAGAUAUAGGAAGGAACACCAGUGGCGAAGGCGACCACCUGGACUGAUACUGACACUGAGGUGCGAAAGCGUGGGG